CUGAUAUUUCCUCCACACUGGCGCCUGUCAUUUCAGAGAAUAGUGCGAUGAAGAAUUUAUAGAGCUUUUGAGGUGUCGCAUGCUGGACAGCAUCCCUGAUAAAAUGCAGUGAUGAAUUGCUAACAACAAGACAGAAAUGUGCAUCAAGAAAGUAAAUCGGGUCAGUUUUAAUUUCAUGUUGACACUAAAAGAAAGGGCAUAUGUGAUCUGAGAAGAAAAACUCAGAUGAGAUGUAUGAGACUGACAAAGAGUAAGCGAAGGAGACCCAGGGUGAAUGGUGGUAAAGCUGAAUGAUUGCUUGAGAUCGAUGCCGGGGCCAGGCGAGAGAGCAGAGGAGAGGAUGGACAGAACAAAAGUGGUGCACAUCUGUCCUCAGGGUCAGAGGGUCAAAGUGAAGGGACAGAUCCUCUGGGACAGUCUGCCACGGCCAUUCAACUAUCCUGCCUCUUCUUUCCAUCCUUUCCCUCUCUUUUCCGUCCACUCCAUCCCCCGCCUGAGGACUGCUGUCAUCCGGCGUGACACUAAGAGGGGACAGGGAUCGCUUCCAAUCACCCUCCAUCAGCUUUUAUU
Onychostoma macrolepis is the source of this 570-nucleotide long non-coding RNA. RefSeq lists it as uncharacterized. The record is from RefSeq and is a predicted model, not a curated record. Lineage: Eukaryota; Metazoa; Chordata; Actinopteri; Cypriniformes; Cyprinidae. The transcript has 4 exons.